GAUGAACGCUGGCGGCGUGCCUAAUACAUGCAAGUCGAGCGAACGGACGAGAAGCUUGCUUCUCUGAUGUUAGCGGCGGACGGGUGAGUAACACGUGGAUAACCUACCUAUAAGACUGGGAUAACUUCGGGAAACCGUAGCUAAUACCGGAUAAUAUUUUGAACCGCAUGGUUCAAAAGUGAAAGACGGUCUUGCUGUCACUUAUAGAUGGAUCCGCGCUGCAUUAGCUAGUUGGUAAGGUAACGGCUUACCAAGGCAACGAUGCAUAGCCGACCUGAGAGGGUGAUCGGCCACACUGGAACUGAGACACGGUCCAGACUCCUACGGGAGGCAGCAGUAGGGAAUCUUCCGCAAUGAGCGAAAGCCUGACGGAGCAACGCCGCGUGAGUGAUGAAGGUCUUCGGAUCGUAAAACUCUGUUAUUAGGGAAGAACAUAUGUGUAAGUAACUGUGCACAUCUUGACGGUACCUAAUCAGAAAGCCACGGCUAACUACGUG
This 497-nucleotide ribosomal RNA is filed under the name uncultured bacterium. RNAcentral's name for it is "partial 16S ribosomal RNA". It matches the Rfam family "Bacterial small subunit ribosomal RNA", at positions 28 to 507 of the family's 1533-position model. The record is from RNAcentral.